RNAcentral lists this ribosomal RNA (480 nucleotides) under uncultured bacterium. RNAcentral's name for it is "SSU rRNA". It matches the Rfam family "Bacterial small subunit ribosomal RNA", at positions 26 to 518 of the family's 1533-position model. The record is from RNAcentral.
AGGACGAACGCUGGCGGCGUGCUUAACACAUGCAAGUCGAACGGAAAGGCCCUUUCGGGGGUACUCGAGUGGCGAACGGGUGAGUAACACGUGGGUGAUCUGCCCUGCACUUUGGGAUAAGCCUGGGAAACUGGGUCUAAUACCGAAUACACCUUGCUGGCUGCAUGGCCUGGUGGGGGAAAGCUUUUGCGGUGUGGGAUGGGCCCGCGGCCUAUCAGCUUGUUGGUGGGGUGAUGGCCUACCAAGGCGACGACGGGUAGCCGGCCUGAGAGGGUGUCCGGCCACACUGGGACUGAGAUACGGCCCAGACUCCUACGGGAGGCAGCAGUGGGGAAUAUUGCACAAUGGGCGCAAGCCUGAUGCAGCGACGCCGCGUGAGGGAUGACGGCCUUCGGGUUGUAAACCGUCUUUCAGUAUCGACGAAGCGCAAGUGACGGUAGGUACAGAAGAAGCACCGGCCAACUACGUGCCAGCAGCCGC